UGAUUUAUGAGCCCGAGAGGGAGAUAGUGGAGCUGUCGUGAAUGAGUGUGUGAGUGGUGCACAUAUAUCUUGGCGGCAAGGACCUCACAUAUCACAGGCACACACAGGCCUCAGACUUCCGGAAAGUGACAGUCUCCCUAGACGUCUUGAGAAAAGAGAAAGUUCCAGAAAGUGAAAUCAACAUCAUGAAACUAACAACAACGCUACUCCUGAUAUGUUUGCUGACUGUGAAAUCUGCGGUACAGACUCCUUUGCCAAAUCGGUCCCUGUGGUGGCAAUGUGAAUUCGUGUGUGAAGAGCAGUACAAGCCCGUCUGUGCAGUGGACGAAACUGGAGUCAUGAAGAGUUUCCCAAACCGAUGCAAAUUUGAACUCGCCAACUGCAUGUCUAUCAGAUACCACGCCGUGGUGAAGGAGGGCGAAUGCUGAUAGCGGACUUUAUGACGUAAACCACACCGUCUCCUGACCAGAUAAUAUAACCAAAUACAAGUGAUCAAGGAAGAAAGGACAGCAACGCAGUUUUUCAUUGGAGCUUCAGUACAAUAGAUUAAACUGUGAAUCUCACAUAUAUGUAAUUAAACUCCGUUAGAAUAAGUUAACCAGUAAGAAAUUAUCCUCAUUUUAUAAAAUCGGUAGACAACAGAAUUAUUCAAACUGAGAAGUAACUAUAUCAAACAAACAAUCUUUCAAUAUGGAGACAUAUUCCUUCUUUACCCCUUAAAUCGAUGUAAACCCCCUCAACUCCAAGUUUAGCGGUUUUCUUGUAAUAAACUUCAACUUCUUCAUACGUGAGUGUUUACUUAUUUAUGUAAGCUCAGAACGUAGAGGUAAGAUAUUUUAGAAUAGUUAAAGGCUGCACUAAAGUAGUUCUUAUUAAGAAUGAAGAAUUAUAAAGAACUGAAAGUAAAAUAAGAAAAUAACAGAAAAGAUGAACGCACAUGAAACUCGAUAAAUCAUUUGGGAAAAAAUUGACGAAAGAACACCCAAACGAAUUCUACAGCAUAAGAGAAAAUGACGAGGUGACCGAGGAAGACCUUGGAAAAAGAUGGAAUGAAUGUGAGAAGCCUGAAAAGACAUUACUGCCCGUACCGUAAAAGGGAGAAAAAUACACCAACGACAAUAUUCCUUCGGUACCGUAACUCAAAACCUGCUACUAGACAUGAUCCUAAGCCAGCUCUAUCCGCGUCCUCUGAUUAUAUCAAUCUCCGUUUUCCAGUAACUAUUUCAAGAGGUUCAUUAUCACCACCACCACCAUCAUCAUCAUCAUCAUCAUCAUCUCGAUGUAUUUGGCCCUGUUUUGGGCGUUUCGUCCUUGAAAAUUUCGUUGGUCCCUCCGUCUUAACUGUAGGCGCCCCAUGUUUCCUCGUCUUGUUGGUUUGUAUGUUAAAAUUUUCUUUGAAGUUCGUCUAUCUUCCUUUCGUAGAACGUAAUGCUUCCACUGCGAACUAUAUUUUAAAAUUUUAUUAUUAAACUUAAAGUAUUCAUUUCGAAUUACUGGAUUUUGUUACUUUGUUCAUCAGUCGGUAUUCUACAAAACUAGAAAAUACCGGACAGUGGGCAGAACCCAGUAAUUCCGACUGUUAUACACCAUCGUCAGAACUCUUUAGAAUCUGCUUGAAGUAUUCAGUUCUUCAUAGUUCUUUGUAUUUCUUAUUUGAUCCUUUCUUGUGUGGCCUGAUACACUCGGCAAAAAUUUAGGCUCUGUGUUUUUUUUAUUAUAGUCCAAGUUUCGUAUCCAUAUGUAAGUAGAGAUACCACCAUAUUUUUAUAGAAUUUUAUCUGUGUAAUA
Cryptotermes secundus is the source of this 1788-nucleotide long non-coding RNA. RefSeq lists it as uncharacterized. The record is from RefSeq and is a predicted model, not a curated record. The transcript is spliced from 3 exons. NCBI's taxonomy places the organism in Eukaryota, Metazoa, Arthropoda, Insecta, Blattodea, Kalotermitidae.